GAUGAACGCUGGCGGCGUGCCUAAUACAUGCAAGUAGAACGCUGAAGGAAGGAGCUUGCUCUUUCCGGAUGAGUUGCGAACGGGUGAGUAACGCGUAGGUAACCUGCCUGGUAGCGGGGGAUAACUAUUGGAAACGAUAGCUAAUACCGCAUAACAGUAGUUGUUGCAUGACAAAUAUUUGAAAGGGGCAAUUGCUCCACUACCAGAUGGACCAGCGUUGUAUUAGCUAGUUGGUGAGGUAACGGCUCACCAAGGCGACGAUUCAUAGCCGAGCAGAGAGGGUGAUCGGCCACACUUGGACUGAGACACUACCCAGACUGCUACGGAAAGCCACAGUAGGGAAUCUUCUGCGAUGGACAGAAGUCUGACCGAGAAACGCCGAGCGAGUAAAAAAGGAUUUCGGAUCGUAAAUGUCGGUUGUAGGAGAAGAAAGAGUGUGAGAGUAAAAAGUUCACACUGUGACGGUAUCUAACCAGAAAGGGACGGCUAACUACGUG
This 497-nucleotide ribosomal RNA is filed under the name uncultured bacterium. RNAcentral's name for it is "partial 16S ribosomal RNA". It matches the Rfam family "Bacterial small subunit ribosomal RNA", at positions 28 to 507 of the family's 1533-position model. The record is from RNAcentral.